AACGAACGCUGGCGGCGUGCCUAACACAUGCAAGUCGAACGAGACCUUCGGGUCUAGUGGCGCACGGGUGCGUAACGCGUGGGAAUCUGCCCUUUGCUUCGGAAUAACAGUUAGAAAUGACUGCUAAUACCGGAUGAUGUCUUCGGACCAAAGAUUUAUCGGCAAAGGAUGAGCCCGCGUAGGAUUAGGUAGUUGGUGGGGUAAAAGGCCUACCAAGCCGACGAUCCUUAGCUGGUCUGAGAGGAUGAUCAGCCACACUGGGACUGAGACACGGCCCAGACUCCUACGGGAGGCAGCAGUGGGGAAUAUUGGACAAUGGGCGAAAGCCUGAUCCAGCAAUGCCGCGUGAGUGAUGAAGGCUUCGGUCGUAAGCUCUUUACCUAGGGAGUGAUAAUAGACAGUAACCUGGAGGAAUAAAGACUCCGGCUAACUACCGUGCCAG
This 442-nucleotide ribosomal RNA is filed under the name uncultured bacterium. Its description in RNAcentral is "bacterial SSU rRNA". It matches the Rfam family "Bacterial small subunit ribosomal RNA", at positions 29 to 511 of the family's 1533-position model. The record is from RNAcentral.